UGGGGGAUAUUGCACAAUGGAGGAAACUCUGAUGCAGCAACGCCGCGUGAGGGAAGACGGUUUUCGGAUUGUAAACCUCUGUCCUCAGGGACGAUAAUGACGGUACCUGAGGAGGAAGCUCCGGCUAACUACGUGCCAGCAGCCGCGGUAAUACGUAGGGAGCAAGCGUUGUCCGGAUUUACUGGGUGUAAAGGGUGCGUAGGCGGCCCUGCAAGUCAGGCGUGAAAGGCGGAGGCUUAACCUCCGAGCUGCGUUUGAAACUGUGGGGCUUGAGUGGAGCAGAGGCAGGCGGAAUUCCCGGUGUAGCGGUGAAAUGCGUAGAGAUCGGGAGGAACACCAGUGGCGAAGGCGGCCUGCUGGGCUUUAACUGACGCUGAAGCACGAAAGCAUGGGUAGCAAACAGG
Molecule: ribosomal RNA, 404 nt
Filed under: uncultured prokaryote
Also listed under: 1 other name
Description: bacterial SSU rRNA
Rfam family: Bacterial small subunit ribosomal RNA
Source: RNAcentral